AUGUGUUGAGAAGCUUGGGGACAUUGUUGGAUAGAGAUUAAGAGUGAAAAGUGAUAGUUGAGCAUUUUUUGGAAAUUAUUCAAUUAAAAUUCGUUUUUUCAAAUUACAGGAGACAGGUGAAAUAUUAUCAAUUGUUUUCUUAACUUUAUUUUUGCGUCCAGUUUGUGCAAUUUAUUUACAUUUGCCUUGCUAACUUCAGUAAUUUAGCUAACCUUAGCUAUAGCUAGCUACCAGAGCGAGUGUGCCGUUUUCUGUGCCAUAAUGGUAACGUUAGAAUGGCCAACGCUGCCGAAAAUGUUGUGGACUUUUUGUUGACCCCUUCCAUUCUCUGGGGUACACGGAAAAGCUGCGAAUUAAAAGCGAGGGUCGACCUCUGCCUGAGAUCAGUUUCAUGAAGAAGGGUGAAAAGGUGAGGGUGUUCAAUGGCAUCUGGUAUCAAAAGUAUAGCUGGUAAACAGGGAGCCUUUCAUCAAGCCGCCUCUAUUGAUGGCCUUGCAAGAUUUUGAGAUGGAAAGUUCCACCGACAAGGGGAACUACAAGGAGCUUGCAGAGCUAAGUCCCCUCCUGUUCCCUGAUGAAGAGGCGAUAACUACUCCACUCCUCUACCUUUGUCAACAUUCUCCUGACAUGAACUGAAGCCACGUCUCGUGCCCACUCAUCCACUGGCGCAUUGAAUGUUUCCUCGCCAAGGAGUACCCCUAUACAUUUUCUCUCAUUCCUGUCAAUCAUUAGAGUCAAUCACGUACACAAUUCACAUUAUUAGACAUCUAUGAUUUUACUCCCUGCUUAGACAAAAGGGCUAAAAAUGAGUUAGAUUGACUAUGUAGUGUGUUGUGUUAUUGUUUUUUGUCUUCCCAGUCAAAUCCUAUCCUGCACUGGUCAAGCCUCUGAACACCUCAACUCAUGCAUCAUACCCUCAUUCAAUCACUUCUGUGAUCCCGCUCAGCCCUCUCAUUCCCCAUAAUAUUGUACUAUAAAUGUCUUUAUUAAAUGCUUUAGGCUAAAGUAAUUAGUCUUUGCCGAUUUUUGAAA
Oncorhynchus kisutch (coho salmon) is the source of this 1032-nucleotide long non-coding RNA. RefSeq lists it as uncharacterized. The record is from RefSeq and is a predicted model, not a curated record. The transcript is spliced from 2 exons. Lineage: Eukaryota; Metazoa; Chordata; Actinopteri; Salmoniformes; Salmonidae.